Molecule: non-coding RNA, 73 nt
Organism: Camelus ferus (Wild Bactrian camel)
Lineage: Eukaryota; Metazoa; Chordata; Mammalia; Artiodactyla; Camelidae
Source: Rfam
GGAGGGUACAGCUCAGUGGUAGAGCGUAUGCCUAGCAUGCACAAGGUCCUGGGUUCAACCCCCAGUUCCUCCA